CCUGACGCAGCAACGCCGCGUGGGGGGAUGAAGGCUCUCGGGUUGUAAACCCCUUUCAGCAGGGACGAAAUUGACGGUACCUGCAGAAGAAGCCCCGGCUAACUACGUGCCAGCAGCCGCGGUAACACGUAGGGGGCAAGCGUUGUCCGGAUUUAUUGGGCGUAAAGAGCUCGUAGGUGGCUAAGUAAGUCGGGUGUCAAAUCCCCAGGCUCAACCUGGGUCCCCACUCGAUACUGCUUUGGCUAGAGUCCGGUAGGGGAGCGUGGAAUUCCUGGUGUAGCGGUGAAAUGCGCAGAUAUCAGGAGGAACACCAGCGGCGUAGGCGGCGCUCUGAGCCGGUACUGACACUGAGGAGCGAAAGCGUGGGUAGCAAACAGGAUUAGAUACCCUGGUAGUCCACGCCGUAAACGUUGGGCACUAGGUGUGGGGUCUAUUCAACGGACUCCGUGCCGUCGCUAACGCAUUAAGUGCCCCGCCUGGGGAGUACGGCCGCAAGGCUAAAACUCAAAGGAAUUGACGGGG
This 522-nucleotide ribosomal RNA is filed under the name uncultured bacterium. RNAcentral's name for it is "bacterial SSU rRNA". It matches the Rfam family "Bacterial small subunit ribosomal RNA", at positions 382 to 918 of the family's 1533-position model. The record is from RNAcentral.